GUCUAUAUGAAGGUGUAUAAAGUCUAACCUGCCCAUUGAAUAAAUUUAAAAGGCCGCGGUAUUUUGACUGUGCAAAGGUAGCAUAAUAAUUAGUUUUUUAAUUGAAAACUUGUAUGAAUGGUUGGACAAAGAAAAAGCUGUCUUUGAUAAUUUUUUUGAAUUUUACAUUUAAGUGAAAAGGCUUAAAUAUAUUUAAAGGACGAUAAGACCCUAUAAAUCUUUACAUUUAUUUAUAUUUGUAUAAUUUAGAUUAAAAUAAUUAAAAUGUUAAAUAAGAUGUUUUAUUGGGGUGAUAAAGAUAUAAUUAUAAACUGUCUUAAUAUUUAAACAAAUGUGUUUGAUGAAUAAAAGAUCCUUUUUAAAGAUUAAAAGUUAAAGAUACUUUAGGGAUAACAGCGUAAUUUCUUUUGAGAGUUCUUAUCGAAAAAGAAGUUUGCGACCUCGAUGUUGAAUUAAAAUUUUUCCUUGUGGUGCAGAAGUUAUAAAGGAGAGUCUGUUCGACUUUUAAAUUUUU
This 514-nucleotide ribosomal RNA is filed under the name Munidopsis robusta. Its description in RNAcentral is "partial 16S large subunit ribosomal RNA". It matches the Rfam family "Bacterial large subunit ribosomal RNA", at positions 1831 to 2597 of the family's 2925-position model. Lineage: Eukaryota; Metazoa; Arthropoda; Malacostraca; Decapoda; Munidopsidae. The record is from RNAcentral.